Molecule: small nuclear RNA, 161 nt
Organism: Octodon degus (degu)
Lineage: Eukaryota; Metazoa; Chordata; Mammalia; Rodentia; Octodontidae
Gene: U1
Rfam family: U1 spliceosomal RNA
About the family: U1 is a small nuclear RNA (snRNA) component of the spliceosome (involved in pre-mRNA splicing). Its 5' end forms complementary base pairs with the 5' splice junction, thus defining the 5' donor site of an intron. There are significant differences in sequence and secondary structure between metazoan and yeast U1 snRNAs, the latter being much longer (568 nucleotides as compared to 164 nucleotides in human).
Source: Ensembl
AAACUUACCUGGCAGAGAAGAUACCAUGACCACAAACAUGGUUUUCCCAGGUGCCUCAUCCAUUGCACUCCAGAUGUGCUGACUCCUGCGAUUACCCCAAAUGCGGGAAACGCGACUGCAUAAUUUGUGGUAGUGGGCAACUGGGUUGGUGCUUUUCCCUA